GCUUGCGGCUGCUUACCAUGCAAGUCGAACGGCAGCACGGGUGCUUGCACCUGGUGGCGAGUGGCGAACGGGUGAGUAAUAUAUCGGAACGUACCUUGUAGUGGGGGAUAGCUCGGCGAAAGCCGGAUUAAUACCGCAUACGCUCUGAGGAGGAAAGCGGGGGACCUUCGGGCCUCGCGCUACAAGAGCGGCCGAUAUCAGAUUAGCUAGUUGGUGGGGUAAAAGCUUACCAAGGCGACGAUCUGUAGCUGGUCUGAGAGGACGACCAGCCACACUGGGACUGAGACACGGCCCAGACUCCUACGGGAGGCAGCAGUGGGGAAUUUUGGACAAUGGGCGAAAGCCUGAUCCAGCAAUGCCGCGUGUGUGAAGAAGGCCUUCGGGUUGUAAAGCACUUUUGUCCGGAAAGAAAUCCUCUGGGUUAAUACCUCGGGGGGAUGACGGUACCGGAAGAAUAAGCACCGGCUAACUACGUGCCAGAGC
RNAcentral lists this ribosomal RNA (483 nucleotides) under Pandoraea sp. YC89B. RNAcentral describes it as "bacterial SSU rRNA". It matches the Rfam family "Bacterial small subunit ribosomal RNA", at positions 35 to 515 of the family's 1533-position model. Lineage: Bacteria; Pseudomonadati; Pseudomonadota; Betaproteobacteria; Burkholderiales; Burkholderiaceae. The record is from RNAcentral.